This 4467-nucleotide long non-coding RNA is filed under the name Neodiprion pinetum (white pine sawfly). RNAcentral's name for it is "uncharacterized LOC124215839". The stretch from base 2193 to 2263 matches the Rfam family "mir-10 microRNA precursor family". The record is from RNAcentral. Lineage: Eukaryota; Metazoa; Arthropoda; Insecta; Hymenoptera; Diprionidae.
GUGGGAGCUGGUCGGAUGCGGCUCAACCAGCGGACGAGCUUUUUGUGAAAUUCGGUUAUUACGUGCCUCAAUAACUAACUCUGGCCGGCCUUAGGCCUGCAGUUGAGAACAGUUCGCAAUCUCCUCUACCGCCCCUCGACGCCGGAUGCAGUACUUGAUUCCGGUGAACCGAUAAGGUGACGCCCAGCGUCGCUCAGCGUCACAUAGCGUCGCCAACACUUAUCCGGCACUCCGAACCGGCCGCGCCGAACUCCAACAGCGCGCGCGCAGCGCUCUACGAUUUCGCUUCCUCCUGGGAUUCAUGAGUUCGUUUUCGACUACCCGUCACAUCGCAGGCGCCGGUUGCUCCGUUUCAACGAAAUCUUCUUCGGGGGACUUUAUUGCAUAAAUAUCAAGAGGCUCUUCAAUCCAUCUAUCGAUAGGAUAAUCUUGGGAUCCCAUGGGCAGGUAGACGUGCUAUUGAAACAGAAACCCCACUGACUUUACGAUGGCGACCGUUUGGCCUUGAGACCGCCCAAACCUACGCCGAGUGAACAGCGUAUUUCCAAGGCACGAGGAGCUGAAGUUGCAUCAGAGACUUGCCGAACGAUCUGCGUUAUUAGAAUGGCCGGAACGGGUUUAUUACGCAGUCGCCCGAUUGGUUAUCCCCGUGCCCGCCGUUUCGUGAAUUUCAUUCCUGACUCCAUGGAGGAACAAAGUGAAAAGGGAGGAAUAUAGGAUGCCGGCUGGCGGGCAGAUGGUUGCCCUGCUUAUUGGUUUAUUCGCCCGGUACCCUCGCCCUCGUCUCGAUCCUAGCCUGUCGCCUGGCCUCCCUCCAUCCCAGUGGCCGGAGGCCCUGCUUGAGGGGAAAGCACGUAUCCUGUUCACUUCCUGUAUCAACUGUGACAAUCAUCGACAGAGAAAUUCUUAAGACAGUUAACGGGGCAUAGAUUGGGAUUGUUUGGACGAUUAACUUGCAGCCUGACUCUUUGUUUCGCGAGAAUGGAAAGAAAGCUCCACUUGAAGCAACGUCAAUCGAAGUGGGCGAUGUAUCUCGCGUUGAGUGGAGAAUAUAACGGUGGGCUGGAGUAUGAAAAAUCGGGUCACAUAAUUUGAAUAUUCUACAUUUCCCGACGGAGCAACAAAGCAAAGAUGUGAGAGAUAGAGAGCGUAAAACGAAAUGAAAUGAAAAAACAAAUGCGAAGAAAAUGAAAAGGAAAAAACCCUCCGCGGAGUAAUACACGCAAUAUUUCAUUCGUAGCUCAUUUACAUUCCGCAUACCCCUAGGGAUAGAGUGUAGAAGAGUUCCGUUAUAGUGUCCUGGAAGCUCGCAAAGUGCAGGAGAGGCAGGGACGGAGGAUCUAGGCGAUAAAAUCACGUAGCGUAAAAUGAGAGAAGGGCGGCGGGGAGCCGGUAUUAUGGCGUCGUCGCUGGGCGGUCGGCGUCGGGUCGAUAGGACGAUGGAGGCGCACCGAAGGCCUGGCGAAACUGCGUUCCUGGCCAACCCCCCGUCGUCUGCACCCUCGAACUUCUCUCCUUUGAGCCGAGCUCAUCCCAGGGGAUGAAAUUAUUCGCUUCGAAAAUGUCCUGGAAGCGCUGACGAGAGCUGACGAGUCAGUCCACUCAACGAGUCCGCACCAAACACGGUCAGUCAAUCCUUUACGGUACGUCGCAAGCUGUCAACUCGAUAAUUGCUCACAAAAGGGAUCGAGGUUUUUUCUACGGAAAAACCGAUUUCUCGGAUCAUCCGGUGAAUGAAGACAUAUUGUGUAUAGAAAACUUGGACCAAGAUGAACUUGACAGAGUGACCGAGUAACCUUUCGGCUCGGAAAUAUUGCGUACGCACAUGUCGGUGCACUGCAGGAAUCUGAUGCACUUCGGGACAGCGAGAUUGCAUUUACCGCUACCCGGAGCCGUCCUUGUGCAAACUGCUGUAUCAUCUUCACCUCGCUCAUCCACAAUCGACUUGCUUAUACAAUGACCUGAAGAGCGGAGAAAUAUAUUGUCUAUAGAUAUUUUUCAUUGAACUUGACCACGUAUUUGAUCAUCGAACAGGUGAUUCGGAUGGGUAGUUUCACGGACGUUCAGCGAUUCGUUAUACUGGGCCAACUGAGAAACAUAUUACCAUAGAAAUUCACGAUGUUCGGUUACGUAGAAGAUGGCGAACCCAUUGCAGCGAGCAAUUUUGUAAUUUAGAAGGCCCAGUUAAUGCUCUACAUCUACCCUGUAGAUCCGAAUUUGUUUGAUAACAGGCGACAAAUUCGGUUCUAGAGAGGUUUGUGUGGUGCAUACAAUGCUACAGUGGUCUGGAUCGAGUUACCUUUAUACAACUACCUGCGAUUUAUUAUCUUACUGCAUGACUGCUAAACACUGUAAAUCCAACUAUAUAAGGCAAUCGACAAUGUACAUCAGUUUCUGAAAUUUUACAUCCGGUGAGUUUUAUCGGAUACUGCAAAUGAGAAGCUUCAAGCAACGGUUGAUGCAAAAUAAGUGCACAUCGGAAUAUUAUACUGAUGACGUUGCUCGAUUUUCAGGAUACUCUGUGUUCCUUUUUCGUGAGAUGAGAAUCUUAGAAUUCGUUGUUUGUCUACUGAUUUUUGAUAACACUUGCCAAAAGCAAAUUCUUCUUGUUCGCUCUAAUCUGAGCAGCGCGUUAAAAAUGACCACAAUUAGUUAACUCGGCGUUGAAUGUAUAAUUUAUAAAUCAUGUGCAAGCUUCUCGUCUAAUUUAUUAACACUCUCCCCCUUAAAGACAUCUUCGAAUUCGUCUUUUUAUCCGUGAUUCCCUAAACGAAUCGAAACGGUUACACGCAUCAGCGGGAGCUCGAGGGCCAACUCUUUUUCACUUAACGGCCUUCUUAGUGUGCGUGGGAACGUUUUUCCUGGACCACAUCGAUCAGAUACAGAUCAUCAAUAAAAAACAGCGUUCGUUAAACCGGACGUCAAAUAGCUCGUAUUAUGCUUUCGACGCUGCAGCUUAUACUUCGCUCAAGAAUAUAAACUUACGCCAGAGAUCAGAAGGAUUUUAUCUUUCAACUUUGUGAAUCAAAUAUAGAUCAUUCGACUAAAUAAUUUAUUACGAUCGCGUACUGAUAUUGAAUGUAUUUUUCUCAGAUACCGAAAUUUAAUAACGCGUUGCUGAAUAAUGAUUGUCGGUAAAAAAGAAUCCUUUUUUGUGUGACAUAUUUAUCCAUCUAAUCGUUGGAAUAAAUUAUUCUACUGACAAUCGGAUAAGACAAAGAUCCGAUCGUAAACAGCAGAAUAAAUGCGUAGAUUUAAUUUAUUCAGCAUAAAUUGACGUCAGUGAAUAGGAACUUGUGUCUGCGAAUGCAAUUGCGUUAAUACUCGUCGUACUCGAUGUUACGUGUACUUUAAUCAUGCGUGACUAUUAAAAUUACCUAUUUUUCGUACACACCUAUUCAACAGUCGUUAAUAGGUUGCGGAUAUGAUUAGCAGUAAAAUCAAACUAAGAUCUUUGUUCGACAGCGUAUUUAAUUUUGUACCGAUGGAAUUUUAAUUUUUUUGUUCGUGGCAUCUUAUCCUACUUUUUGUUCUUCGAUGUAAUCAAAAUUUAGAAGCGCAUUGACGGUUAUUGCAAAUUGACACACGGCAGUGAGGAUAGCAACAGUACCUAUUUUGAAGUGUCUUGUACCCAACAUAAUCCUGUACGUGGUAAUUAUUGGAAAGGCAAUAUUCGAUGCGCGUGAUCAGACGACACGUGGAAAAUCUUGCGUAAUAAAAGCAAGUGCCAACAAAGUGCCAAUCAAUCAUAAUACAAUCUUGCAAAGGUCGCUUCUGCAGCGCAAAGAUCUUGGAGGGCAUCUAUAAGCGGGUAAAACAAGGCAAAAAAGCCGAUAUAUCCAACCGAGAUCGCGAAGAGAACUCAAGGUAAUCUUGUAGGAUUUCUCGAAGGAAUCCCAUAACGAGUUAAGUAUCAUUUAAUGAACAAGAGUUACAUAUGCGUCUGAAAAAGCAAAUCACGUUCAAACUGACACUUCGCGAGAUUAAUCGUAAGACCAACCGUAAAGUCAAUUUCACUACAGGUUGCACUGAUGCAGAAAUCCUAUGCUUGGGCUGGAUAGAUAGAAUGUAUUACAAAAUAGCAAUAGGAAAACGUGUGUAAAGAUAAAAACUAACUUGAGAUUGCAAAGCAGAGAGAGAGAGAGAGAGAGAGAGAGAGUCUUGCAACGUAUGCAAUCAAAUAAAAUUCAAAAAGCACACGAAACAUGUCGCAUAUUGACAGCUCACGCAUGUAUCAACGCUGCAGGAGGUUUCCUACAAGAUUGUAUUUCAUUUGUUGGCAAUGUGCCAAUUAACGAAUAACCCAUCGAACAUAAGCGUGUAUUUCUUUGACCAGUAGAUCAGGGGCACGGAAACGUACGAUUAACUAUUACUUACAAAUUACCAUAGUAAUAAUACGCCGGGUAAUUGAUUUACGCAGAGUCUUAGAGUGAUUGGAAUACUGCCAUUAGUUUCGUGGAUCUUUUG